This 471-nucleotide ribosomal RNA is filed under the name uncultured bacterium. RNAcentral describes it as "SSU rRNA". It matches the Rfam family "Bacterial small subunit ribosomal RNA", at positions 26 to 518 of the family's 1533-position model. The record is from RNAcentral.
AGGAUAAACGCUGGCGGCGUGCCUAACACAUGCAAGUCGAACGCGCUUUCGGGCUUCGGUGCGAGAGCGAGUGGCGGACGGGUGAGUAACACAUGGGUACCUACCUUGGAGUGGGGGAUACCGGCGAGAAAUCGCCGACAAUACCGCAUAGGCUUCUUCACAAGGGAAGCAAAGUGACGCGAGUCACGCUGUGAGAUGGGCCUGUGGCCGAUUAGCUAGUUGGGGGGGUAACGGCUUCCCAAGGCGACGAUCGGUAGCUGGUCUGAGAGGACGAUCAGCCACACUGGGAUUGAGAACGGCCCAGACUCCUACGGGGGGCAGCAGUGAGGAAUUUUCCGCAAUGGAGGCAACUCUGACGGAGCAACGCCGCGUGCAGGAGGAAGGUUUUCGGAUCGUAAACUGCUUUUCUCGGGGACGAGCAAGGACGGUACCCGAGGAAGAAGCCCCGGCUAACUACGUGCCAGCAGCCGC